Molecule: unclassified non-coding RNA, 300 nt
Filed under: uncultured Staphylotrichum
Lineage: Eukaryota; Fungi; Ascomycota
Description: sequence contains ITS1
Rfam family: 5.8S ribosomal RNA (bases 1-105)
Source: RNAcentral
GAAAUGCGAUAAGUAAUGUGAAUUGCAGAAUUCAGUGAAUCAUCGAAUCUUUGAACGCACAUUGCGCCCGCCAGUAUUCUGGCGGGCAUGCCUGUUCGAGCGUCAUUUCAACCAUCAAGCCCCGGGCUUGUGUUGGGGACCUGCGGCUGCCGCAGACCCCGAAAACCAGUGGCGGGCUCGCUGUCACCCCGAGCGUAGUAGUUUACACCUCGCCCAGGGCGCGACGCGGGUUCCCGGCCGUUAAACCCCCACCAUCUCAAGGUUGACCUCGGAUCAGGUAGGAAGACCCGCUGAACUUAA